UACGGAAGGGGCAAGCGUUGUUCGGAAUCAUUGGGCGUAAAGGGCGCGUAGGUGGUUCUGUAUGUCUACCGUGAAAGCGUACGGCUCAACCGUAUUUUGUCGGUAGAAACUGCAGGACUUGAGGCUGGGAGGGGCUGGUGGAAUUCCCUGUGUAGCGGUGAAAUGCGUAGAGAUGCGGAGGAACACCGAUGGCGAAGGCAGCCCCCUGGGCUAACACUGACGCUCAGGCACGAAAGCGUGGGGAGCAAACAGG
Molecule: ribosomal RNA, 253 nt
Filed under: uncultured bacterium
Lineage: Bacteria
Description: partial 16S ribosomal RNA
Rfam family: Bacterial small subunit ribosomal RNA
Source: RNAcentral